GACGAACGCUGGCGGCGUGCCUAAUACAUGCAAGUAGAACGCUGAAGCGAGGAGCUUGCUCUUCUUGGAUGAGUUGCGAACGGGUGAGUAACGCGUAGGUAACCUGCCUUGUAGCGGGGGAUAACUAUUGGAAACGAUAGCUAAUACCGCGUAACAAUGGAUGACACAUGUCAUUUAUUUGAAAGGGGCAAUUGCUCCACUACAAGAUGGACCUGCGUUGUAUUAGCUAGUAGGUGAGGUAAUGGCUCACCUAGGCGACGAUACAUAGCCGACCUGAGAGGGUGAUCGGCCACACUGGGACUGAGACACGGCCCAGACUCCUACGGGAGGCAGCGGUAGGGAAUCUUCGGCAAUGGGGGCAACCCUGACCGAGCAACGCCGCGUGAGUGAAGAAGGUUUUCGGAUCGUAAAGCUCUGUUGUAAGUCAAGAACGGGUGUGAGAGUGGAAAGUUCACACUGUGACGGUAGCUUACCAGAAAGGGACGGCUAACUACGUG
Molecule: ribosomal RNA, 497 nt
Filed under: uncultured bacterium
Lineage: Bacteria
Description: partial 16S ribosomal RNA
Rfam family: Bacterial small subunit ribosomal RNA
Source: RNAcentral